ACCACGUUGGGUAUAAGUACACACUACAGCAGAGCUGCACUAGGUGUGUGUGGUGCCGUCAGUGCGGGGUUUGAAGUGUGUUGGGUAGUUUGACAAUUCUGUGAGAUGGCUGACUACUACUUGUGCAGAGUGAGGAUUCAGGAAGUGGAACCAUCGUAAAAUGUGUUAGGAUUACGCCCAGUGAAAUGUUUGACUACAAUGAUGGGACCAUAGACGUUUGUGAGUGAUUAAAAACGAUAAAAAUCACUCUUGGGACAAGUCUCCGAAUCGUAUAUAAAUUUGUGAUGAAUAAAAUGGGGACUUCUUUAAAAGAUGUUUCGAAUCAGUCUCCAUCUCCUACGACCAAUGAUUAUUACAAAGCCAUUACCAAUUACAUUAUCGGACUGAGCGAAGCCACAUAGUGUGUGGUGAAACAUAGUUUUAGAGUAAAUAAUGUGAUAUUAUUCGGUAUAGCAAGUGUGAUAUUUUUAAAAUAAAAUGUAACAAAUCUA
Molecule: long non-coding RNA, 491 nt
Organism: Macrosteles quadrilineatus (aster leafhopper)
Lineage: Eukaryota; Metazoa; Arthropoda; Insecta; Hemiptera; Cicadellidae
Exons: 2
Source: RefSeq, a predicted model, not a curated record